Long non-coding RNA from Cimex lectularius (bed bug), 233 nucleotides. RefSeq lists it as uncharacterized. The record is from RefSeq and is a predicted model, not a curated record. The transcript has 2 exons. NCBI's taxonomy places the organism in Eukaryota, Metazoa, Arthropoda, Insecta, Hemiptera, Cimicidae.
UUUACCAUGGGCUUCAUUGCAGUACUGAUUGUUGUCUGUUGUUGUUUGUUUUCGCUCUAUGAUAUUUUUGCAUUAGCAGUGCCAUCUGACGAAGAGGCAAGUCAAUAUCAACCCAGGCUUCUGGGAGACCUACUUCCUCAGAUUUCACUGCAGAUUGGUGGGCGAGAAACCGAAUAAAAUGGCUAUUAUUAUAGAACAAAUGUAGAAUAUUUUAAAUAUAUGUUUGACUUUUA